GGUAAAAGCCUACCAAGGCGACGAUCUUUAGCUGGUCUGAGAGGAUGAUCAGCCACAUCGGGACUGAGACACGGCCCGAACUCCUACGGGAGGCAGCAGUGGGGAAUAUUGGACAAUGGGGGCAACCCUGAUCCAGCAAUACCGCGUGUGUGAAGAAGGCCUGAGGGUUGUAAAGCACUUUCAAUUGUGAAGAAAAGUUAGCGGUUAAUAACCGUUAGCCUUGACGUUAACUUUAGAAGAAGCACCGGCUAACUCCGUGCCAGCAGCCGCGGUAAUACGGAGGGUGCAAGCGUUAAUCGGAAUUACUGGGCGUAAAGCGUGCGUAGGCGGUUUAUUAAGUCAGAUGUGAAAGCCCCGGGCUUAACCUGGGAACUGCAUUUGAAACUGGUCAACUAGAGUAUGGUAGAGGAAAGUGGAAUUUCUGGUGUAGCGGUGAAAUGCGUAGAUAUCAGAAGGAACAUCAAUGGCGAAGGCAGCUUUCUGGACCAAUACUGACGCUGAGGUACGAAAGCGUGGGUAGCAAACAGGAUUAGAUACCCUGGUAGUCCACGCCGUAAACGAUGAUAACUAGCCGUUGGGGGGAUUUACCCCUUAGUGGCGAAGCUAACGCGUUAAGUUAUCCGCCUGGGGAGUACGGCCGCAAGGUUAAAACUCAAAGGAAUUGACGGGGACCCGCACAAGCGGUGGAGCAUGUGGUUUAAUUCGAUGCAACGCGAAGAACCUUACCUGGUCUUGACAUCCUGCGAACUUUCUAGAAAUAGAUUGGUGCCUUCGGGAACGCAGUGACAGGUGCUGCAUGGCUGUCGUCAGCUCGUGUGUGAGAUGUG
Molecule: ribosomal RNA, 827 nt
Filed under: marine metagenome
Description: bacterial SSU rRNA
Rfam family: Bacterial small subunit ribosomal RNA
Source: RNAcentral